AUCUAAGUACCCCGAGGAAAAGAAAUCAACCGAGAUUCCCCCAGUAGCGGCGAGCGAACGGGGAGGAGCCCAGAGCCUGAAUCAGCAUGUGUGUUAGUGGAAGCGUCUGGAAAGGCGCGCGAUACAGGGUGACAGCCCCGUACACAAAAGCGCAUGUGUUGUGAGCUCGAUGAGUAGGGCGGGACACGUGGUAUCCUGUCUGAAUAUGGGGGGACCAUCCUCCAAGGCUAAAUACUCCUGACUGACCGAUAGUGAACCAGUACCGUGAGGGAAAGGCGAAAAGAACCCCGGCGAGGGGAGUGAAAAAGAACCUGAAACCGUGUACGUACAAGCAGUGGGAGCACCCUUUGGGGUGUGACUGCGUACCUUUUGUAUAAUGGGUCAGCGACUUAUAUUCUGUAGCAAGGUUAACCGAAUAGGGGAGCCGGAGGGAAACCGAGUCUUAAUUGGGCGUUAAGUUGCAGGGUAUAGACCCGAAACC
Molecule: ribosomal RNA, 481 nt
Filed under: Salmonella enterica
Lineage: Bacteria; Pseudomonadati; Pseudomonadota; Gammaproteobacteria; Enterobacterales; Enterobacteriaceae
Description: partial 23S ribosomal RNA
Rfam family: Bacterial large subunit ribosomal RNA
Source: RNAcentral